GACGAACGCUGGCGGCGUGCUUAACACAUGCAAGUCGAACGGGCUGCCUGGUUUUCGGAUCGGGUGGUGAGUGGCGAACGGGUGAGUAACACGUGAGUAACCUGCCCCUCUCUUUGGGAUAACGUCGGGAAAUCGGCGCUAAUACCGGGUAUUCUGGCUUCCUCGCAUGGGAUUGUUGGGAAAGGUUUUUUCUGGUGGGGGAUGGGCUCGCGGCCUAUCAGCUUGUUGGUGGGGUGAUGGCCUACCAAGGCGGUGACGGGUAGCCGGCCUGAGAGGGUGUCCGGCCACACUGGGACUGAGACACGGCCCAGACUCCUACGGGAGGCAGCAGUGGGGAAUAUUGCACAAUGGGCGGAAGCCUGAUGCAGCGACGCCGCGUGGGGGAUGACGGCCUUCGGGUUGUAAACCUCUUUCAGUGCAGAACAAGGCUCUUUGUGGGUUGAGGGUAGGCGCAGAAGAAGCGCCGGCUAACUACGUG
Molecule: ribosomal RNA, 478 nt
Filed under: uncultured bacterium
Lineage: Bacteria
Description: partial 16S ribosomal RNA
Rfam family: Bacterial small subunit ribosomal RNA
Source: RNAcentral